GCCCCCGUAGCUCAGUGGAUAGAGCAACGGUUUCCUAAACCGCAGGUCGCAUGUUCGAUUCAUGCCGGGGGCGCCA
RNAcentral lists this transfer RNA (76 nucleotides) under Acidimicrobium sp. RNAcentral describes it as "tRNA-Arg". It matches the Rfam family "tRNA". Rfam says of the family: Transfer RNA (tRNA) molecules are approximately 80 nucleotides in length. Their secondary structure includes four short double-helical elements and three loops (D, anti-codon, and T loops). RNAcentral also lists the same sequence under 1 other name. Lineage: Bacteria; Bacillati; Actinomycetota; Acidimicrobiia; Acidimicrobiales; Acidimicrobiaceae. The record is from RNAcentral.